RNAcentral lists this non-coding RNA (24 nucleotides) under Arabidopsis thaliana (thale cress). Lineage: Eukaryota; Viridiplantae; Streptophyta; Magnoliopsida; Brassicales; Brassicaceae. RNAcentral also lists the same sequence under 3 other names. The record is from RNAcentral.
UAACAGGUCUGUGAUGCCCUUAGA